This 64-nucleotide transfer RNA is filed under the name Bathytroctes michaelsarsi (Michael Sars smooth-head). RNAcentral's name for it is "tRNA-Asp". It matches the Rfam family "tRNA". Rfam says of the family: Transfer RNA (tRNA) molecules are approximately 80 nucleotides in length. The record is from RNAcentral. Lineage: Eukaryota; Metazoa; Chordata; Actinopteri; Alepocephaliformes; Alepocephalidae.
UAGUAAAAGGACAUUACACUGCCUUGUCAAGGCAGAAUUGUGGGUUAAAGCCCCGCGGGUCCUG